Molecule: RNA transcript, 1040 nt
Organism: Rosa chinensis
Lineage: Eukaryota; Viridiplantae; Streptophyta; Magnoliopsida; Rosales; Rosaceae
Exons: 3
Source: RefSeq, a predicted model, not a curated record
CAAUUUCAGAAUAUAAUCCCCCCCCUUAACUGACCUCACCGCCAUGGCUCGACGAUCAGUAGUGAUCCUCCGACCUCCACCACCUCCUAACAAAGCCCCGAUAGGUCACCUGCAUGCCUUGACCCGGCGAUAGAGCUCCACGUGUGGUAUGAUCUCUGGUGACGGAAUCGAACCGCUUGUCACGAACGCCGUCGCGCCUCUUGAAUUCUUGCUCCGACGACACAAAGGCAAUCUUCACUGCUAUGAUUGUCAGAGGCGAGCUCGGGCGAGCAUAAAUGGCUAUAGAUCGGGCGAGCUCGGGGCUCCAAUACCCUGAGCGGUUCUACGUGGCGGCCUCCUGCGCCGGUUUCGACGGAUCUCCUCGCUCCUCCUCUAAAGCCGUUCGCGCCAAGUUCAACUCUGAGUCCGCUCUCAUCCUCUACGCUCUCUAUAAGCAGUGAUAGUGUUUUGGCAACCAUGGUGAAAAGCAAAUUGAUGGAUCCGUUUUACGGCUUGGUAAAUGAAUAUCAAUCAUAGAUAUUGUUGAUUCAGGGAGGCAGUGGUGCACAUUCUGGUACUUUUAAGACUUUCCAGUGUAAGCUGUCAGGUACUCAGCACCUAGAUCUGAAUUUCCGUGGAAUCAAUUACUAUGCAGAGGUAUAUUUAAAUGGGCACAAAAAGGUCCUUCCAAGAGGGAUGUUUCGAAGGCAUUCUCUAGAUGUCACUGAUAUAGUACAUGACAGUGUCGGCAUGGAAGCGGUAGAGAAGCAAAGGAGCACUAGAUCAACAAGAAAAUCAGAAUGAGUGGAGGCGGCAUGGAAGCGGUGUCGUCUAGGCCACAAGAGGCUAAUGGCCAGCACAAGAGGAAUUUGCUAUGGGAACUUUCUUGUGGUCCAACUAGCCCUUGCUGUUGUUCUUGUAUCUAGUAUGAGAGAUUAUACUUUUGUUAGACGACUUUGUUAAUUGUUUUCACUUAGUAUGGUAAUUGAUUUGUUACUGAUGUCUACCUAGCUAGUUGAUCUUUGUGUGAUGUUCAGUAAUGAUAUCUGGGUUUUGCUGAG